UGCCUCUUUUAGGUGAAGUCUAGUGUUUAAAUAGGGUGUUGGGGCUAAAAAUCUCGUAUUUUCCACUUUAGUCCCUGAAAUUUCCGCCUCCUGCCGCGAUCGCGGUAGAACCACAGCCAAACAUGCUCUCUGACAGUCUGUUUGUCUGCAGCCCUCUUUCACUGUGGUUCUGCCGCAGUCGUGGUAGAACUGCGGCAGACCCAGUUCUCUGAUUCUUCAAGCCUGGUUUCGAGCUGUUUCCGUGGUUCACUUGACAAACUUCUAUGGUUGGCCUCUUUUUCUCCAUUUUUUGAUCCCAAAAGUAUUCCAUAUCCUUCUUUGGUCAUAUACGACCUGCAAAGCAUGAAAAGCACUAACAAGAGCAUUUUGGUAUCACUUUCAUCAUCAAAACUAUACAAGAAGGUAAUUAUUUAGGACCUGACUAUAGUUAAAUUCACCUGUUAUCAACACCCCACACUUAAACCUUUGCUCGUCCUCGAGCAAAUUAAACCGCACUUUUAGGCCUAACCGUUUGAUGCAUUACCUCAAUUUAUGUCACACUCGCCAUUAUGAAGUACCAACCUAAGCAGUGCAACAAUCAUACCUCAAAUGCAGACUCUCAAGUCAUGUCACACUCGUGCUCACUCUAGUUACUCUAACAGAAGUGAAGACUUAAUUUUCUUCCUGAGUCACAUGCCCUCACAUCAUAGUUUAGAGAUAAUUCCACACACAUAAAAUUCAAACAAUAAGGAACCAAAGAUAGAAAAAAUUCACUCACUCUCAGCAAGGAUCAUUCAUAUGCCACACAGACACACCAUAAGCUUGCCUCUAGUGUAAUACUCUACUAAUCGAGUUGUUUAGUCAAAGAUCAAGAGGCCUUCAUUUGGUUGUAAUGUAGGCUAAGGGAUGAGUAGGAUAUAUUUGGAUAUAGUGACUAACCUCCCUAAGCACUUUGAAGACACACCUCCUUUUAUUUUACUUCAUGUGCAGCCCCAUCAUUCUUCCACAUUUUUGUUUUACAGGUUACCCCUACUUUUCUUUAGGUGCAACUGGUUUCUCUUUUUUUUUCUGUCUCAUUUUUUUUCUUUUACACUGCAAGUGCAGCAGUCAAAUAAUUCAGUUUUUAUUUCCCUUUUUUCGCUACUUCCCUACCACCCCACACUUUGACUUUUGUAUAUUCUUUAGUGAUUCAAGUGAUUCUAGGAGGUAUAGAUUCAAACAAUCAAUCUAUUCAAACACUCGGAUAUAGGUCAUUAUAGGGUUAUCAAAGAACAGGCUUCAUGCUCAAAGGGGUUAACUAUGAUAAUAUAUACAUGUGGAUUCACAUUUAUACAGGCUUACACAAAGAAAUGCCUCAAUCCUUUCUAAAACCAAACAACUUCUAUUUCGCUUUGCAAACAUGGCAAGUUCUAGGUAUCGCAUGCAAGCACAGAAUGCAAGUAAUAGCUCACACACACCUAGCAUGUAACUCAUUCCGAAUCAGUUCAUCAACACACUCAUAUGAGUGUCAAAGCAAGACAAAAUGUGCAAAAUUAAGGCAUAGAUUACAAGUCCACAAACGAGCCUAUAUGUCACACUCUCAAGUUCGUUUUAGGUAUUUGCAGGUAUGCACAUUAAGGGUUUCAUUCUAGCCUUCACCAAUCUUGGUCCAAGAGAGUCCUAAGGUCCUAAGACUAUAAAAGAAAAAUUUACCUAACCCGAUUCAAGAAAACCCCUUGGAAAAGAACCGUGGUCAAAAGAAAAACUAAGGAAGAAUUACUACACUACCUAAAAAAGAAAAUAAAUAAAAAUAAAACUACAUGGACUAAUUCCCUCAAGAGUACUGUCCAAGUGGUCCGUCCUCUACCGUUGUUU
Molecule: long non-coding RNA, 1833 nt
Filed under: Nicotiana benthamiana
Lineage: Eukaryota; Viridiplantae; Streptophyta; Magnoliopsida; Solanales; Solanaceae
Description: long non-coding RNA (NBEN_LNC012062)
Source: RNAcentral